AGAGUUUGAUCCUGGCUCAGGAUGAACGCUGGCGGCGUGCUUAACACAUGCAAGUCGAACGGGAAUUACUUUAUUGAAACUUCGGUCGAUAUGAUUUAAUUCUAGUGGCGGACGGGUGAGUAACGCGUGGGUAACCUGCCUUAUACAGGGGGAUAACAGUCAGAAAUGACUGCUAAUACCGCAUAAGCGCACAGAGCUGCAUGGCUCGGUGUGAAAAACUCCGGUGGUAUAAGAUGGACCCGCGUUGGAUUAGCUAGUUGGUGAGGUAACGGCCCACCAAGGCAACGAUCCAUAGCCGGCCUGAGAGGGUGAACGGCCACAUUGGGACUGAGACACGGCCCAGACUCCUACGGGAGGCAGCAGUGGGGAAUAUUGCACAAUGGGGGAAACCCUGAUGCAGCGACGCCGCGUGAAGGAAGAAGUAUCUCGGUAUGUAAACUUCUAUCAGCAGGGAAGAAAAUGACGGUACCUGACUAAGAAGCCCCGGCUAACUACGUGCCAGCAGCCGCGGUAAUACGUAGGGGGCAAGCGUUAUCCGGAUUUACUGGGUGUAAAGGGAGCGUAGACGGAUGGACAAGUCUGAUGUGAAAGGCUGGGGCUCAACCCCGGGACUGCAUUGGAAACUGCCCGUCUUGAGUGCCGGAGAGGUAAGCGGAAUUCCUAGUGUAGCGGUGAAAUGCGUAGAUAUUAGGAGGAACACCAGUGGCGAAGGCGGCUUACUGGACGGUAACUGACGUUGAGGCUCGAAAGUGUGGGUAGCAAACAGGAUUAGAUACCCUGGUAGUCCACACCGUAAACGAUGAUUACUAGGUGUUGGAGGAUUGACCCUUUCAGUGCCGCAGUUAACACAAUAAGUAAUCCACCUGGGGAGUACGACCGCAAGGUUGAAACUCAAAGGAAUUGACGGGGGCCCGCACAAGCAGUGGAGUAUGUGGUUUAAUUCGACGCAACGCGAAGAACCUUACCAAGUCUUGACAUCCUGCGACGAUGCUAGAAAUAGUAUUUUCCUUCGGGACGCAGAGACAGGUGGUGCAUGGUUGUCGUCAGCUCGUGUCGUGAGAUGUUGGGUUAAGUCCCGCAACGAGCGCAACCCUUAUGGUCAGUUACUACGCAAGAGGACUCUGGCCAGACUGCCGUUGACAAAACGGAGGAAGGUGGGGAUGACGUCAAAUCAUCAUGCCCUUUAUGACUUGGGCUACACACGUACUACAAUGGCGUUAAACAAAGAGAAGCAAGACCGCGAGGUGGAGCAAAACUCAGAAACAACGUCCCAGUUCGGACUGCAGGCUGCAACUCGCCUGCACGAAGUCGGAAUUGCUAGUAAUCGCAGAUCAGCAUGCUGCGGUGAAUACGUUCCCGGGCCUUGUACACACCGCCCGUCACACCAUGAGAGCCGGGGGGACCCGAAGUCGGUAGUCUAACCGCAAGGAGGACGCCGCCGAAGGUAAAACUGGUGAUUGGGGUGAAGUCGUAACAAGGUA
RNAcentral lists this ribosomal RNA (1481 nucleotides) under metagenome. RNAcentral describes it as "bacterial SSU rRNA". It matches the Rfam family "Bacterial small subunit ribosomal RNA". The record is from RNAcentral.